RNA transcript from Sorghum bicolor (sorghum), 3256 nucleotides. RefSeq lists it as uncharacterized. Lineage: Eukaryota; Viridiplantae; Streptophyta; Magnoliopsida; Poales; Poaceae. The transcript is spliced from 7 exons. The record is from RefSeq and is a predicted model, not a curated record.
GGCUUUCUGUGCUCGGGGGGAUGGAUGGAUGCUGUUACUGCUCCUCUGGCAGCUCAGAUUGAUUAGCACGCCGUCCACUGCAUGCCCCAAAGCACUGCUCAGAUUGAUCCCAGUCAGCGACAGCGUGCUUAAUAAAUAAUAAUCUCGGCGUCGGAGCGGCCUCACCCCCACUUGAAGCUCAUCAGCGUAGUAUUAAGCCCAGGUACAAUACACAACCCCCGUCCCAUCAGGCUGGCAGGCAGGCAGGCCAUCACCCCACACCCACACCCACUCUCUCCGUUUCUAGCUUCCUCCUCCUGCUCCAAGUACGGCCGCCGCCGGCCGGUCACCGGAUCCAAGAAGAACGGCCGAUGGAUGGAGGAUUCGGUGACGAACUGCAUGCUCCAUGUUUUGAUUGUGUGUGUUUAUUGCUCGUACGUACUGUAUACUGUAUUAAGUUGCAGCGGCCGAUUCGAUUAGGCCCUGAAGAGAUUGACAGAAGAGAGCGAGCACCCGGCGCGGCGGCCGGCAUGGAGCGCAUGCCGUCCCCGCCGCGUGCUCGCUUCUCUUUCUGUCAGCCUCUCUCUCGUCCUGGGCCGACGCCGCCGAGGCCGGCCGGGGCCGUGUGUGUGCUGCUGGGUGACUCUAGGCUAGCCACCUAGCUUGCUCUGAUCUGGAGCUGCUGCAGCAGCAGCUGCUGUCUUCCUGCUAGUGGCUACUGGUGCUAGUGGGGCGGCAGACGCCACCACCGAGGCUGGAAGCAAGCCACGGGCUCCCCUAGCGCGGUGGAAACUGUGCCACGCAGUCGUCGCGCGCAGAGAGAUGCACGACACGCAUGCUGCGAGGGGACGACGGCUUUUGCAGGCACCAAGGACAUGUCACUUCAUUAUCUUCUAUAGAUUUCCCAUAUUUUUUUGCUCUCAAAUUGAUUCCUUUCAGUCAGGCUGUCGGGGGGCUAUUACCGAGGAAGAGGAUGAGGUCGACCAUGGAGAGGAUGAGCCAAGAGUAGUAGUAGUAGUACAAGUACUUGCUGUGGUAGGUUUAGCAGUACACGGCCGAAAAAACCACUUCUCAGCAAGGAGCAAGAGCUUGCUGUGGUAGGUUUUGUGGUACACUGAAAAAUGAUUGGUACUAGAGUUUUAUUUGCCGUUUAUUUUCUGCUUGCAUGCUCCCGAUGCAAGAUUUUCUUCGCUCUCCGGUCUUCCUGCCUCACCUCACCUCACCUUGGGAGCUGAAUCAGGACAUGCCGACAGUACACUGCGGCACUGUAAGGAUUUAACAGAACAAACACCGCAUCAUUUCUCUCUCCCUCCCUCUCUCUCUCUCUCCUUUUUCUUUCGCAUGGUGCGCAGCAGCUCAUCUUUGGACACUGUUUCUGCUCUUGCUUGCUCGGCCUGUUCUUGGUCUUGAGUUCUUGCUUGCUAGGUCCUCCUGCGGCGGCGGCCAUGGCGAUCCAGGUGGUGGUUGAGCCGCCGGUGCUGAUAAGCUCCUGUUGGCUCAAAAAUGGAGCGGGGAGGGCACCAUGUGAUGACCCAAAUUUGGCAAAGACCCUGCACUUGCCAGAUCUGGUUUGCAUCUAAGUACACGUACAAAGGGGUAGAGAGAACACCGUACGUUACUGCUCGUUACUGAUGAAGAGGGUUGUUGUUGUUGUUGGAUUUGGGCGUCAUGAAUUAAUGGGGAACAUCAUUUGCAAAGUUUACUUGACCAAGGUGGGGGGCUUUAUCAAAGCAAAUACAUAAGCAGAUUUAUUCAGUGAGAAAACCUGGAUUUUUUUUCCUAAAAAGUUUGUUGGGCCACAAGAGAAGUUCACUUUCAAAGAUAUGUAGUGAUUCGAAAAGGAUAACAGGAUUGAAGUUCCAAGUUGUUCCUUUACAUUCCAUUCAUGUUCCGGUGGAUCUAGAUGUGCAAUUUGGUUCUUAUUCAUGUUGCUGUGAGUACCUAUGCAUGGGGCGUGGGAGUACAACAUUCAUCUUGAGCACACGCAAUCAUGUUCUUAGGUUGCUAAAAUCCAGUUUUUACAUUGUAAUGAUUUAAAUUUUGUUGCUUUAACUAUCCUUUGGUAAAGACGAUCUUGCAAAGGGUUUUGUCGAUAUAUUCUGGUUCUUGGGAUGAGCAGUGAUGCUUACAUUCUAGUUCAUUUGAUAUUACUAUGUUCAUCUUAUGCAUUUCUUGUUUUGGACGUCUAAUUUACAAAGGAAACUCUGUCAGAUUUCAGUAAAUACCUAUCUUUGUAGAUUGUUUGGAGUUGCAUGGUAGCCUCCAGUUUAGCAAAUAACUGGGGUGUUACAAUUUUGGUCUACUAAUUUGGUGCUUCUUUGAUAUUAUCUUCUGCACAGGAUCCUUCCAACUAAUUCACUACUAAAGAGUAGCAGCGAUUCAGCGACCUUGUGAACCGCUCAAUUAAGUUAAUCCAUGUCAUAGUAAAUAACAUGGACGUCGAUGCAACAGCAAUAAUGAAACACCUAAAAAUUUGCUCAUUUUAAAAUAGGUGAAAAAUGGUUUAAUUAUGAAUUUCUGUGCUCAUGAAACAUAGGAAAAUAAUAUUUUCAUUUAAAUAAAAUUAAUUAUAGGACUUAGCAACUUGUUGUGCAUUCAUGCUUUUACAUUAAUUUUUGUUGACAUGAGUGAUUUGUCUAAAGCUCAAAAAAAAAUAUUUCAAAAGUGAUUUUAAAAUGGUUUGGAAAAUAACUUUGGAAUAAAGGAAAGGAAAUUAGAAUGUAUAUAAAAAAAAGAAAAAAAAAAAAGGGGGAGACAGCUCCCUGGAUCUGGCUCGAAGCCCAGCUCCUCUUCUUUCCCCCUCCCCCUCGGCCCAAGCCAGCAGCUGCAGCAGCCAGCCCAGCUCCUCGGCCUUCAAGCGCAGCCGGCCUCGGGAAAGCCGCGGCCCAGCCCCGCGCCUUUCCCUUCUCUCCCUGGCAACCUGACCCUGUCUUUUCUUUCACUGACACCCGGACCCACACGACAGUGUCCCAUCUCCCCUUUCCUUCUUCCUCCCCAAGCCGUAUGCGAGUUGGACAUCCAGAAGGAGAGUCCGCACCCCCUCUUCUCCGAUCUUUGCGGGAUUUUCCGUGUGGGAGAUUUACUUCGCCCUUUUUAAGCCCCGUGAAUCUCCCUAUUCCUUUCUUUUUCCAUCUAAUCGACUCCAUAGUUGCUCGGCUCCAGUUUGGAUCUCGCCGGCAAGCCGGACUUCAUCCGCUGCCGAGGUCCUCGCUCGGUGGUGCCCCAGGGCCUUUCGAAACCACACGCCGAGCAUCGCCACUAGGAGCUUCCUGUCCGC